CAGGACAUGGGCUGUAACUUGUAACCCUGGGUAUGAUGGGCUAAUUCCGAGUGCUGGCACUGACUCAACUGUAAACUUGUGGACGGCUCCUACAUCCGCUGAAGAUGAGGCAACCUCUGAAAGCAUAGCUGAAUGGCCAGCUCAACUGGCUGACCCAUUGCUUAAUUC
Long non-coding RNA from Hibiscus syriacus, 168 nucleotides. RefSeq lists it as uncharacterized. NCBI's taxonomy places the organism in Eukaryota, Viridiplantae, Streptophyta, Magnoliopsida, Malvales, Malvaceae. The transcript is spliced from 3 exons. The record is from RefSeq and is a predicted model, not a curated record.